This 525-nucleotide ribosomal RNA is filed under the name uncultured bacterium. RNAcentral describes it as "bacterial SSU rRNA". It matches the Rfam family "Bacterial small subunit ribosomal RNA", at positions 777 to 1302 of the family's 1533-position model. The record is from RNAcentral.
AAUAGAUACCGGGUAGUCCUGGCCCUAAACGAUGAGUGCUUGGUGUGGCGGGUAUCGAUCCCUGCCGUGCCGAAGCUAACGCAUUAAGCACUCCGCCUGGGGAGUACGGUCGCAAGGCUGAAACUCGAAAGGAAUUGACGGGGGCCCGCACAAGCGGUGGAGCAUGUGGUUUAAUUCGACGCAACGCGAAGAACCUUACCCAGGCUCGAAAUGCAGACGAUCGCCGGUGAAAGCCGGUUCCCGCAAGGGCGUCUGUAUAGGUGCUGCAUGGCUGUCGUCAGCUCGUGUCGUGAGAUGUUGGGUUAAGUCCCGCAACGAGCGCAACCCUUGUCUUCUGUUGCCAUCAGGUCACGCUGGGCACUCUGGAGAAACUGCCGGUGACAAACCGGAGGAAGGUGGGGAUGACGUCAAGUCAGCAUGGCCUUUAUGUCUGGGGCUACACACGUGCUACAAUGGCCGGUACAAACCGCUGCAAACUCGCGAGGGUGAGCUAAUCGGAGAAAGCCGGUCUCAGUUCGGAUUGGU